This is a long non-coding RNA of Corythoichthys intestinalis (scribbled pipefish), 251 nucleotides long. RefSeq lists it as uncharacterized. NCBI's taxonomy places the organism in Eukaryota, Metazoa, Chordata, Actinopteri, Syngnathiformes, Syngnathidae. The record is from RefSeq and is a predicted model, not a curated record. The transcript has 3 exons.
CACACUAUUUCUUUUACUUUCCUUUUUUCUAAUGAAUAUUCAAAAAAUAUUUUUCCAACAGCAAUGUCAGUGACUUACCCCUUGUGCCACUAGUCAAUAUGACAGAAGCGUAAAUGUAGGGUUAUCAGAUGGCGGAAAGCUUCCACGAUACGUUACCUCAAUUUGAGUUGCUGACCAUGAUGAGCCAACAGCAACCUGAGAGAACAACACGACUGACUUAGCCCCCAGAAGUGGAUGAUGAUCCACCUGAA